ACGGGUGAGUAACGCGUGGGAACCUACCCAGAACUUCGGAAUAACACAUGGAAACGUGUGCUAAUACCGGAUACGCCCUACGGGGGAAAGAUUUAUCGGUUUUGGAUGGGCCCGCGUAAGAUUAGCUAGUUGGUGAGGUAAUGGCUCACCAAGGCGACGAUCUUCAGCUGGUCUGAGAGGAUGAUCAGCCACACUGGGACUGAGACACGGCCCAGACUCCUACGGGAGGCAGCAGUGGGGAAUAUUGGACAAUGGGCGCAAGCCUGAUCCAGCCAUGCCGCGUGAGUGAUGAAGGCCUUAGGGUUGUAAAGCUCUUUCAGUAGGGAAGAUAAUGACGGUACCUACAGAAGAAGCCCCGGCUAACUUCGUGCCAGCAGCCGCGGUAAUACGAAGGGGGCUAGCGUUGUUCGGAUUUACUGGGCGUAAAGCGCACGUAGGCGGAUCGUUAAGUUAGGGGUGAAAUCCUGGAGCUCAACUCCAGAACUGCCUCUAAUACUGGCGAUCUAGAGUCCGGAAGAGGUGAGUGGAACUCCUAGUGUAGAGGUGGAAUUCGUAGA
This 557-nucleotide ribosomal RNA is filed under the name uncultured bacterium. RNAcentral describes it as "bacterial SSU rRNA". It matches the Rfam family "Bacterial small subunit ribosomal RNA", at positions 102 to 694 of the family's 1533-position model. The record is from RNAcentral.